RNAcentral lists this microRNA precursor (206 nucleotides) under Oryza sativa Indica Group (long-grained rice). RNAcentral's name for it is "MIR812 microRNA precursor family". It matches the Rfam family "MIR812 microRNA precursor family". Lineage: Eukaryota; Viridiplantae; Streptophyta; Magnoliopsida; Poales; Poaceae. The record is from Rfam by way of RNAcentral.
AAAAAAGACAAACACUGGUUUCCGUGUCCAACGUUUGACCGUUCGUCUUAUUUGAAAAAAUUAUGAAAAAAAUUAAAAAGAUAAGUCACGUAUAAAGUAUUAAUCAUAUUUUAUCAUCUAACAACAAUGAAAAUACUAAUUAUAAAAAAAUUUCAUAUAAGACGGACAGUCAAACGUUGGCACGGGAACCCAUGGUUUGUCUUUAU